Molecule: long non-coding RNA, 550 nt
Filed under: Homo sapiens (human)
Lineage: Eukaryota; Metazoa; Chordata; Mammalia; Primates; Hominidae
Description: non-protein coding lnc-SP6-3:3
Source: RNAcentral
UUAUAAAACCAGUAAUAGUGGAUGGAGCAGCUCUGGGUGGAGAGAGGUUAGGGGCUCAGGACACUUCUCUCUCUGAAACUGUGUUUCAGGCCUUUUCAUGGAACCCUCAAAGCAUAGCACAUGGAACCAGAGCAUUGAAAGCCACUGGCAUAAUUGCAUUUGAUACGAUCAGUGCCAGCAGAUUUGCUGUGUGACUUGGGCCUAUCACCAAACCUCUCCGGGCCUCUUCUGUCCCCUGGAGCUUCUGCCACCAGCCAUUGAUCCCUCUGUCACCCUUCUGUCCCUUGGCCCUCUCUUUUGCCAGGCUGGCUUUGGAACGGAGCAGCUCUGCCCAGGAGGCCUUGCAUGUGAUCACAGGGUUACUGGAGCACUAUGGGCAGGGGGGCAACUGCCUGGAGGAUGCUGCGCCAUUCUCCUACCAUAGCACCUUCCUGCUGGCUGACCGCACUGAGGCGUGGGUGCUGGAGACAGCUGGGAGGCUCUGGGCUGCACAGAGGAUCCAGGAGGGGGCCCGCAACAUCUCCAACCAGCUGAGCAUUGGCACGGACAU